This 468-nucleotide ribosomal RNA is filed under the name uncultured bacterium. Its description in RNAcentral is "partial 16S ribosomal RNA". It matches the Rfam family "Bacterial small subunit ribosomal RNA", at positions 28 to 507 of the family's 1533-position model. The record is from RNAcentral.
GACGAACGCUGGCGGCGUGCUUAACACAUGCAAGUCGAACGGAAAGGCCCUGCUUUUGUGGGGUGCUCGAGUGGCGAACGGGUGAGUAACACGUGAGUAACCUGCCCUUGACUUUGGGAUAACUUCAGGAAACUGGGGCUAAUACCGGAUAGGAGCUCCUGCUGCAUGGUGGGGGUUGGAAAGUUUCGGCGGUUGGGGAUGGACUCGCGGCUUAUCAGCUUGUUGGUGGGGUAGUGGCUUACCAAGGCUUUGACGGGUAGCCGGCCUGAGAGGGUGACCGGCCACAUUGGGACUGAGAGACGGCCCAGACGCCUACGGGAGGCAGCAGUGGGGAAUAUGGCACAAUGGGCGGAAGCCUGAUGCAGCAACGCCGCGUGCGGGAUGACGGCCUUCGGGGUGUAAACCGCUUUCGCCUGUGACGAAGCGUGAGUGACGGUAAUGGGUAAAGAAGCACCGGCUAACUACGUG